UAGAGUUUGAUCCUGGCUCAGGAUGAACGCUGGCGGCGUGCCUAAUACAUGCAAGUCGAGCGAAUGGAAAAAGAGCUUGCUCUUAUGAAGUUAGCGGCGGACGGGUGAGUAACACGUGGGUAACCUGCCCAUAAGACUGGGAUAACUCCGGGAAACCGGGGCUAAUACCGGAUAACAUUUUGAACCGCAUGGUUCGAAAUUGAAAGGCGGCUUCGGCUGUCACUUAUGGAUGGACCCGCGUCGCAUUAGCUAGUUGGUGAGGUAACGGCUCACCAAGGCAACGAUGCGUAGCCGACCUGAGAGGGUGAUCGGCCACACUGGGACUGAGACACGGCCCAGACUCCUACGGGAGGCAGCAGUAGGGAAUCUUCCGCAAUGGACGAAAGUCUGACGGAGCAACGCCGCGUGAGUGAUGAAGGCUUUCGGGUCGUAAAACUCUGUUGUUAGGGAAGAACAAGUGCUAGUUGAAUAAGCUGGCACCUUGACGGUACCUAACCAGAAAGCCACGGCUAACUACGUGCCAGCAGCCGCGGUAAUACGUAGGUGGCAAGCGUUAUCCGGAAUUAUUGGGCGUAAAGCGCGCGCAGGUGGUUUCUUAAGUCUGAUGUGAAAGCCCACGGCUCAACCGUGGAGGGUCAUUGGAAACUGGGAGACUUGAGUGCAGAAGAGGAAAGUGGAAUUCCAUGUGUAGCGGUGAAAUGCGUAGAGAUAUGGAGGAACACCAGUGGCGAAGGCGACUUUCUGGUCUGUAACUGACACUGAGGCGCGAAAGCCUGGGGAGCAAACAGGAUUAGAUACCCUGGUAGUCCACGCCGUAACGAUGAGUGCUAAGUGUUAGAG
RNAcentral lists this ribosomal RNA (840 nucleotides) under uncultured bacterium. RNAcentral describes it as "bacterial SSU rRNA". It matches the Rfam family "Bacterial small subunit ribosomal RNA", at positions 1 to 828 of the family's 1533-position model. The record is from RNAcentral.